AUGAAAGAGGAGGAUAAGGAGAAAGGAAGGGAGGGAAGAGGGCCAGGUAUCCACCUGAUGACCCUUGUUUCUUCUAGAGCUCUAAAGCUCUCCCAUUCCUCAUGGUCUACAGUUGAGGAAGCUUCUGGGACGUGCAGCACCUCUACAAUGGAAACGAGAUCUUCAUCAUCAGCUUCAGAUGUGUUCUUGGAACCCUGGACCACAUUUGAAUCUUCGAUGUUUUUAAGAGUUCACCUCACCUUGGCAGUGGUCUGCAAGUUAAUCCUGUGAAGCGACCUCACACAGCCCCUCUGGGGAAGUCUUGCGGCGCCCAUGCCAAAGAAAGAACACCUCAGCAUGUUCAUCCACCUUCCGUUGGCCUCGGGAACUCCUGGAGGGAAAGCUAGCUCCAAGCAGGAAAGAAGAGGGAAGAACUCUGAAGGACACAGAUCAUCCCAGCCUACAGUCCAGGUGAGUCCCUUGUCCAGUCGGAAGAGCCAUUGUGUGACGUGUGUGCAUUAGAGGGUCUGACAGAGGCCUUCUGUGUAAGCAUGCAGGUUCUGUUGGAUGGCUUGCCUGCCACCAGACAGGAGACGCCCUUAGUAGUGCUGCUCCUCCACUGCCUGGGAGAGAGAACACUGAGCCAUGAGUGUGAAUUACUUCCUUCAUCCCCAGAGCCAAAAUCCCUGACAGGGCUGGCAGGAUAGCUCAGUGGUUAAGAGCACUUCAGAGGACCCAAGUUUGAUUUCCACACUAGCUAGUUUACAACCACGUAUAACUCCAGCUCCAAAGGACUGACGCCCUUUCCAUGCCUUUGAGGUCACACACACACACAGAGAGAAAGAAAGAAAGAAAGAGAGUUUAAAGAUAUACUAUCUGACAGAAAGCAGCCAACGAAAGGAAGAGUUUUUUCCAGCCUCGUGGUUUAGAGCAGCAGUUCUCAACCUGUGGGUCGUGAACCCUUGGGUCAAAUGACCCUUUCACAGGGGUCAACUAAGACCAUCAAGAAACACAGAUAUUUAAGUUAUGAUCCAUAACAGUAGCAAAAUUACAGUUAUGAAGUAGCGAUGAGAAUAACUUUAUGGUCCAGGGUGAGUCAGCACACCACGAGGAACUGUUUUAAAGGUCAUAGCACUAGGAAGGUUGAGAGCCACUGGCUCUGAGGCUUCAGCCCUUCAUACCAGGAAGGACACAGCGGUGCUCACAGCAGCAGGAGUGUGUGGCAAAGACUUCUCACAUAGUGGCAGAUAAGGAAGGGACAGAAUAGACGGGGACCAGAUGUGAGGAUAAUCCUCGAAGGCCUGCCCAGAGUAACCUACUUCCACAGACUGGGCCCUUCCCACUAAAAACUCCACAGCCUUCAGUGUAGCACCACGAGGUGCUGGAGAGAUAGAUGGUUUGGCCGUGCAGAGCACUUCCUGUUCUUGCAGAGACCCUGAAUUUGGUUUCUAGCACCCACUUUGAGCAGCUCACAGCCACUCUGAUGCCCUCCUCUGGUUUUCUCAAACACCAGCACUCAUGUGGCCUGCCUACCCACACACAUAACAUAUAAAAAUAGAUCUAAAAACAGCAGCAUAAGCCAGGGAUGGCUCAUUCAGAAUGUGAGGACACCUCAGUAAUUCCACAGAGUGUGGGAAGUCUUCUCCCCCUACUGCUCUCUGACCCGGGAGAAAACCACACCUGGGAGUAAGCCACAGGUGCUAUCACGUGGAAAUCCCACGUUGUGAUCAGUCCCUGGAACACCCCACUCGGAGUCUGCAGUCUUCCAGGUUCAUCAUAGGCUUGACCCGAAGCUGCACCUAUUCCACAGGAGGCUUUCAGAGAGAGACCAUAGCCAGUGCUGGACGCGCAGAGCUGGGCGCUGUGCACUCUUGCAGUCCCAGCACAUGGGAGACAGAGGAAGGUAGAUCUCUGUGAGUUCAAGUGUGAGUGGCAUAGUGUGACUCUGAAGGAAACGAAAGAGGAGGAGGAAGGGAGGAAGGAGGAGGAAGAAGGAGGAGGAGCAGAAGAAGAAGGAGGAGGAGGAGGAAGAGAGAGAAAAAGAUUACUGGAAGCCAGGCAUGAUGGCAUACACUUGUAAUCACAGAACUCAAGACAACUGAAGUAGGAAGACCACAAGUUCAAGGCCUGCCUGGGCCAAAUAAUGAGAAGAGAAGAGAGGAGAAG
This 2145-nucleotide long non-coding RNA is filed under the name Rattus norvegicus (Norway rat). RNAcentral describes it as "long non-coding RNA NONRATT031854". Lineage: Eukaryota; Metazoa; Chordata; Mammalia; Rodentia; Muridae. The record is from RNAcentral.